This 1044-nucleotide ribosomal RNA is filed under the name Vibrio natriegens. RNAcentral's name for it is "bacterial SSU rRNA". It matches the Rfam family "Bacterial small subunit ribosomal RNA", at positions 380 to 1404 of the family's 1533-position model. Lineage: Bacteria; Pseudomonadati; Pseudomonadota; Gammaproteobacteria; Vibrionales; Vibrionaceae. The record is from RNAcentral.
AGCCUGAUGCAGCCAUGCGCCGUGUGUGAGAAGCUUCGGGUGUUAAGCACUUUCAGUCAUGGAGAAAGGUAGUAGAGUUUAAUAGCUGCUAUAUUUGACGGUUAGCGACAGAAGAAAGCCCGGCUAACUCCCGUGCCCAGCAGGCCGCGGUAAUUACGAAGGGGUGCGAGCCGUUAUUCGGGAAUUACUUGGGCGUUAAAGCGGCAUGCCAGGUGGGUUUGUUAAAUCAGAGAGUGAAAGCCCCGGGGCUCAACCUUGGAAUUGCAUUUGAAACUGGCAGACUAGAGUACUGUAGAGGGGGGGUAGAAUUCAGGUGUAGCGGUGAAAUGCGUAGAGAUCUGAAGGAUACCGGUGGGGAAGGCGGCCCCCCGGACAGAUACUGACACUCAGAUGCGAAAGCGUGGGGAGCAAACACGAUUUGAUACCCUGGUAGUCCACGCCGUAAACGAUGUGUACUUUGAAGUUGUGGCUCUGAGCCGUGGCUUUCGGAGCUAACGCGUUAAGUAGACCGCCUGGGGAGUACGGUCGCCAGAUUAAAAAUCAAAUGAAUUGACGGGGGCCCGCACCAGCGGUGGAGCAUGUGGUUUAAUUCGAUGCAACGCGAAGAACCUUACCUACUCUUGACAUCAAGAGAACUUUCCAGAGAUGGAUUGGUGCCUUUGGGAACUUUGAGACCGGUGGCGCAUGGCUGUUGUCAGCUUCUGUUGUGAAAUGUUGGGUUAAGUCCCGCAACGAGGGCAACCCCUAUCCUUGUUUGCCAGCGAGUAAUGUCGGGAACUCCAAGGAGACUGCCGGUGAUAAACCGGAGGAAGGUGGGGACGACGUCAAGUCAUCAUGGCCCUUACGAGUAGGGCUACACACGUGCUACAAUGGCGCAUACAGAGGGCGGCCAACUUGCGAAAGUGAGCGAAUCCCAAAAAGUGCGUCGUAGUCCGGAUUGGAGUCUGCAACUCGACUCCAUGAAGUCGGAAUCGCUAGUAAUCGUGGAUCAGAAUGCCACGGUGAAUACGUUCCCGGGCCUUGUACACACCGCCCGUCACACCA